UCCGGCCACAUCACGUUGAAGCAUCGCUUCCCUUACGAUCACCGAAAUUAAGCAACGUUGGGCCUGGUCAGUACAUAGAUGAGUGAUCGCCUGAAAAUACCA
This is a non-coding RNA of Acanthosepion pharaonis, 102 nucleotides long. The record is from the annotation of a GenBank genome assembly. NCBI's taxonomy places the organism in Eukaryota, Metazoa, Mollusca, Cephalopoda, Sepiida, Sepiidae.